Molecule: long non-coding RNA, 1951 nt
Filed under: Calidris pugnax (ruff)
Lineage: Eukaryota; Metazoa; Chordata; Aves; Charadriiformes; Scolopacidae
Description: lncRNA (ENSCPUG00000012590.1)
Source: RNAcentral
AUGCCAAUAGCCCCCACAUUCUGUAGGGCGUUGGGUGCCUCUCCGAGGACAGAGGGACUUGGCGGCGGGCUGACGUGCCACCUGCCUUUACACGGGGAAAAACCCCGGGAUUUGGGGACUUUUGGGAGAUCAUCACUCGGGGCGGGGGUGGUGCAAUGCUGCCACUUCUCCGCCAGGCGGCGCCACCGCACCCACCGCUCCCGCCCCACCUCGCCAUUGGCUGCUCCCCCGCGGCCGCCGGCGCCAGUGAUUGGUCGGCGUUUGGAGGGGCCGCCCCCGCCCCCCCUUCCUGAGGCUAUAAGAAGCCCCGGCGUGGCGGUACCGCUCGCUACCGCCAGGGGGCGCCGCCGAGGCAGCAGUGCGAGAGAGCGGGCGGCGCGAGGGAGCGGGCGGCGCGCGGUGGUACCGGGGGGAUUUGGGGGGUCUCUGGGGGGAGAGGGGUGUGUGCGGGGGAGGCUGCCGCCCCUUCCGGGCUGUUCCCAAAGCAGAGCGGUCGGGACACGGGCGGAGGGACCGGAGGGGCUCUGGGGUGGGGGCGGAGGGGCCGGGGGCGGGCUCUCGGUGCCGGGGGACGCGGGUGGGCGAUGCCGGGAGCCCCGGUCGAGGGCUCCUGUGGGGGGGUUAAUGCAUUUUUGGUGCAGGUCUGACGGUCCCCGUGUAACGCCGGAUUCCCCAGGAUCCCCAAAUGAGAUCACCCCCCAGGGCGGUUUGGGCUGCACAGACGGGGCGUCCCCUGAACCGCCAGGACAUGGGCUCGGCGUCCAAACCCACAGAGCCGAUAGUUGGUGGACUGUCAGAACUUCCAGGGGUUCUCCAAAGAGGGGAAGCAGAGAUGCUCGUUACUGCCCCAAUCACCCUUCAGGUGCUGGCUGUUACUUUGAAGAUCCUGCAUCCAGUUCCAGUCGGUCCCUGAGUCCAACCUGGGACUCUCCCAGUGCCGGCCAGUGAUGUGAGCGCCAUCCUGGGACCUCCGACUGUCCCAGGUCCCUCCCUGUGCAGGGAUGGACGGAGGAACCCCCAGCCAUGCUGGGACCCACGUGGGGUGAGGAGCCCCAAGAAGGAGCCGGGCUGCCUGCGCUGACGCUGUCGCCUGCCCCACACUUGGCUGAGGACAGAUGACAACCCAGCCUGGAGACCCUGCAAGGACUGCACAGCUCCAGCUCCGUACGGCUUCAGGUUGGUUAUUUGGGACCCUGUUUAUUUUGGGUCCAGCUCAGUUUGGGCCCCUAGUUGUUCCAGGCCCAGCUGCUGGACGGCUGCAGUUCAGUUUUGGCUCCAGCUCAUUUGGGGCUCCUGAUGGUGUCUGCUCUGGUUUCAGGUCCAGCUUACAGACAGCUACAGUUCACGGGUGGCUCUGGCUCGUUUCAGCUCCUGUUUGUUGUGACUUCAACCCAUCUGCAGCCUCAGGUUGGUUGUUUCUGUGCUUGUUUUGUUUCUGGUCCAGCUUGUGGACGGCUCCAGCAUGUUUGGAGCCCCAGGACAUUGUUUCUGUCCUGGUCCAGGCUGGGGUACAGUUCGUGUUCUCCACAGCAGUUUGUAGGGGGCUGCUUUGGGUUUGUGCUGGAAAUGGUGUUGACAGCAGAGGGCUGGCUGAGUUUUUGCUGAGCAGUGCUUGCACAGCCGGGUGGGGGCCAGUGGGUGGGGAGCAAUUGCCUUGUGCUUCACUUCUGUAUGCUUUAUUGUUAUUGUCCUGUUAAACUGUCUUUAUCUCAACCCAUGAGUUUUACUUUUUUAAUGUUUUUCAGUUCUCUUGCCCGUCCUGCUCUGGGGUGAGCGUGGGGCUCAGCUGCCGGCCGGGAUCAACCACAGCAGUUCCUACACCUGUUUGUUCCAGCUCUGCUUGGGCUGUGACUCCAGCUCCUGCUUGGUCAAAGGAGCCUGGCUUUUGGCCAGGUCGUAAAUCAAUCACUGUCAUAACUUGCAUAUGAAUAAAAACUGUCAUAAUUGUACA